AGCCUUCUAAACCCUGCAGGAGCCUCCUGUGUUUGAUUAAAGUUCACUUUACAGAGCAGGAGAUAAAAAAAUACCCAUUUCACUGACCUCAAUAAGAAGUAGUACACUUUGCUACACAACCAGGGAGCAAAGAUAGGUGCCAAGCCACAAGUUACUGCUGGUCCCAAAUUAAUCAUAGAAACUACAAUAUUGACAUGCCAACACCAACAAAUCUUUUUAUGGGCUGAAACAGGUCGGUCUGCAUUUACUGAGUGAAGGUCAGUCCACUUACAAUUAUUUAUAUGGUGCUGACAUAUUUUGUAGUGCUGUACAAUAGGUAAAACAAUAUAUAUAAUUAAUUCUAGGUAAAAAAAGGG
Non-coding RNA from Pelobates cultripes (western spadefoot toad), 356 nucleotides. Lineage: Eukaryota; Metazoa; Chordata; Amphibia; Anura; Pelobatidae. The record is from the annotation of a GenBank genome assembly.